Molecule: ribosomal RNA, 358 nt
Filed under: uncultured bacterium
Lineage: Bacteria
Description: partial 16S ribosomal RNA
Rfam family: Bacterial small subunit ribosomal RNA
Source: RNAcentral
CCUACGGGUGGCAGCAGUGAGGAAUAUUGGUCAAUGGGCGGGAGCCUGAACCAGCCAAGUAGCGUGAGGGAAGACGGUCCUACGGAUUGUAAACCUCUUUAGGAGAGGAGCAAUGUCGGGCACGUGUGCCCGGAGGGAGAGUACCCGCAGAAUAAGCAUCGGCUAACUCCGGGCCAGAACCCGCGGUAAUCGGGGGGAUGCGAGCGUGAUCCGGAUUUAUGGGGGUGAAAGGGUGCGUAGGGGGUUGUUUAAGUCAGCGGUAAAGUGUCAGGGCUAAACCCGGGAGGGCCGUUGAAAGUGGGGAUGUGGCGUGGGCGAGAGGUAUGCGGAGUGCGUGGGGUAGCGGUGGCAUGGAUUG